CAAAGCCACGUGGGGGCCGCGGCUCCGCCCGCUUCCACCCGCCUUCGGAGGGUCGAAGGCCCGCGCCCGGCCCUCCCGUGUGCCUGGAAGAUGCCAGAAUUUCUAACCGAAAAAAACAGGGCUCUACCUUGGUUUCUCAUACAUAACUUCAGUGAUAACAGCAGCCUUCGCUCCUGCUAAAGGGUCUGGCCUGCCACCCCAGGGCAACCCCCAAAAGCAGGUGCAUCCCACCCAAAGGCCUUAAUUACCAAGGCUACUGAUGUGGAACACAGGAUUUAGGCUGGCACAUGAUGCACUUGUUCAAAGGCUGAGUAAAUGAAGCAAUUUUGUGAUUCUCUAAUCUGAACUCAACCGAAUUUUUAACCUGGCAUCAGCUCUUACCUUCUUUAACCUCUUGAAUGAUUUCUUCAGGAAGGAUAAAAUUCUUCUCUGAAUUAGGGAAUGGAAGAAUCUCUGACUCAUGCUGACAUCGAGUACAAUAAAGUACAAUUUGUUUUUAAAGAAACAAAGAAAAAAGGUUUGUCAAUAAGGUCAGGGGCUUUGCCUAAAGAAAUAAGAACCUCACAACCUAUGGAACCAGCUACCAAAGGAGUUUGUGCAAUCCCUAUCACUGAAAAAAAUCUUAAAGACAAGAGCAACAAUAUCAUUUUAGUGGAAUUAGGCACAGAUCUUUGUGAGGCACUGGCUGCUGGUCCCUGGUUUAUGGUCCCUUCUGGAUAUGUGAUGUUAUAAAUGCAAUAAACUACAUGGUUAUCAAUCAA
Ornithorhynchus anatinus (platypus) is the source of this 761-nucleotide long non-coding RNA. RefSeq lists it as uncharacterized. The record is from RefSeq and is a predicted model, not a curated record. The transcript is spliced from 4 exons. Lineage: Eukaryota; Metazoa; Chordata; Mammalia; Monotremata; Ornithorhynchidae.